CAUUAUGUAGCUUAAUAUAAAGCAUUGGUCUCUUAAACCAAAUUAUAGUAAAUUACUCUUAAUGG
RNAcentral lists this transfer RNA (65 nucleotides) under Oncopsis nigrofasciata. Its description in RNAcentral is "tRNA-Lys". It matches the Rfam family "tRNA". Rfam says of the family: Transfer RNA (tRNA) molecules are approximately 80 nucleotides in length. Their secondary structure includes four short double-helical elements and three loops (D, anti-codon, and T loops). Lineage: Eukaryota; Metazoa; Arthropoda; Insecta; Hemiptera; Cicadellidae. The record is from RNAcentral.